Molecule: non-coding RNA, 2968 nt
Organism: Meleagris gallopavo (turkey)
Lineage: Eukaryota; Metazoa; Chordata; Aves; Galliformes; Phasianidae
Source: RefSeq, a predicted model, not a curated record
AGAUUGGUGGAAGCUGAAGCCAGAACCUAAAUAGGUCUUCUGCUGCUAGAGAGGUGUAUGGUGUGAGGGUAUGUUGUUGUGUUUGCUUUGUGUGAUUGUAAGUGAUAGAGGAAGAUUUUGGGGAGCAGCUGCUGGUGAGGGCAAAUCUGAGGCUCUGAUUGCUGAAGGCAUUACUGGAACUAGUGCAGGCCCAGUCCUCUGCAAGUGCUUUGCACGUCUUCAAGGCUGAACCUCUAGAACAUGUGCAUUCAACCUGGAGAAAGUCUGCUAAGAGAAAGGGUAACAGCAGCUGUGGUAAAACUAAUGCAAGAUAAGAAAUGCUCAUGGCUGCCCAUGAUUUUAGUGAGGAAAAUAUCUGCUGUGUCUGGAGCAAUUCUAUAAAUGCCUGUAAAAUGUACUUUAAUUGCAGCUUUUCUGAUGAGAAUAGAGGUCUCAUCUCCUUGUGGAGAUUAUAAAUGUUACUUCUCCUUAACAAAUAGAAAUUUGGACUAGAAGUCAAGAACUCUUGCUCAGCAACUUGAGAUCUAGUAGGUGUGUGCACUCUAAUUUUCUUCUGGUGCUGGAGAUAAAUUGGGCUAGAAGGAGAGCUUCUUGAAAUGCGAAUGUCUCUCUCUAAAUGAGUGUACAUGGUGGAAUACUCCUUUUGAAACUGUACUAAUUUUGAGGAACUGAAUAUUCAGACACAAGUGAAAUCACCAGACAAGCUUUUGUGCAGUUCAGAGGCCUAUAUAUGAUAGGAAGACCAUCAGGAGGACUACAUUUCUGCUGCAUCAGCUUUCAUGGGGAAGUUUGACCUUUACAGCAACUCAGUAUGCUCUUUGAGAUAGUAAAAAGAUGUCUCUGAGAACUGUAAGGCUGGAAACUCUGGACCUACAGAAACUAGCGUUGCUUUAAAGGGGAUGAUUUUGGCAAUAAAUACUAUCCAGAAACUUCUGAUGCGGAGGUUCACGCUAUGACAGUCCUGUAAGCAAGGAAAGCAACCUGAGGAGUGAAAUGGAUUCCGGGGAUGAAAUUUUGUUUAUACAUGGAAAUGUGCCAAAAAACCUCAGUAAUUAUAGUUUCAACAAAACUAGUUAUUCUGAAGUAACUAUUCUGAGAAAAUGCCAAGUAUGGACAAGCAUUUAUAGACACAGGUCUAUCACUUUACUCACCCAAGCUGUAAUUCUACAAUUAGCAUUCUGUUUGCCUUCUUGGUGGCUUUGUUUUGUGUAUUGUUACAGUUUAUCAGUCUAAAAGGCUUUUUGCAGUAACUUCAAGACCUGCCAUGCAAAGGUCGUAAAAGUUUUCUUCAAUUCUUGCAAAUAAACAGCUUUAAAUCAAUUGUGAGGCCACAACAACCAAAGCAAGACUUUCAGUCCUAUUAUCUAAAUAUAGUGUAUAUGCUAUUUAGAAAAGUGUCUAUAAUUUGAUGUGGAAAAAUGGGUCUGGAAGGAAGGAUUUCUCCAACUUCAGCAGUGAUACAAUGAGAACAUGUGGUUGAACAUGUUUUUAAAAACUCUCAACCAAAAAUGUUUAUCUUUUAGAUCCCUAAUUUGUUCAGUGUCACGUUAUUUCAAAUUGUCAAGAACAGGAGAUUUUGCUAUUUUCUUAAUUGUUACCUAUUUAGCUUUUAUUUUCAUGCAUGUUUUCCCUUUAUGAAUAGUCUCUUGGAAUAUGUUGUCGAAUUGUUUUAUUCCCAUGAGAAGUGAGAGUGUGAGAGGAAACCUGGGUAUAUUCCUCGUAUUCUGCUCAGAGAGAAUGCUCUCUCUCUGAAAACAUUUUACUUCCAGCACUGCUUUUUCCUGUUCUUCUUUCCACCUAUCUUGUGUGUCAUGAGUGUGCUCAGCCCUACUCUGGCAUGGAUUGAUUUGUUUGCAACCUGGGUGGUCAAGAGGGGAAAAGGAAUCUGUGUGUUGCCUUUGUGCUUUGCACAAAUGUGGGAAAAAAAUCAUGUUCCCUCUCUGAGGAAAAUCAGUUCAUAUCUGUUGUGACUGGUACAGUUUUCUCUGCCAUUUGCAGAGUGGUGUUGCAGCCUGCUUGGUGUAUGUUGCUUAGUGUGCUUUGCUCACUCUGGCACAACAGAAGCUUUUAUCAAAGAGAUGACCAAGAUACAUAGGUCACACUGAAGUAAUCCUUCCUAUUUAUUUUCACUGAAGCUACAACGGGUACAACACUUCUUCAACGUAGUCAUCACUAUUAGCUGUGUGUUUUCACCAGCAAUGAACAAGAGCUGCAUGCUGCACUUGUCAAAAUCUGCACUGCUGAAAUACUACCCACUGCCUCAUGGUGCUCACAUCUAUUGUUUGGUCUCUAUAGAUGUUCAGCAAGCAUCAAUGAGUGUCAGUGUGUGACGUUUUUUCUGCAUGGAAGAAUUCAGUGACAGGCCUUUGCUUCAGAUGCGCUUCUGUGUCAGAUACCACUGUGUCAGACUGCCCCUAUGCUGUCAUCUGUCACACAGCAGCAACAUGUAAUGGAAUAUUGGUGGGAAGUCUCAACCUCUACAGCCAUACCAGCAACAUCCACUUCUGACAUCAUGGGCCAACUUAAUAAAAUAGGAGCCGUAACUUUCAGAGCAGUCUUAAUAAACAGUAGGAAGCAUUAUAUAAAUCAGCAAGAGCACAUUUCUCAGAGCUGCUUAGCUCUUCAACAUUGGCUAUUUUUGGAUUUCCUGAUGCUUGGAGCUAGUGGAAUCUUUCAUUUUAUUUUCUUUGUACUUAAAACACUUGUCACUCUAUAUGCCACAUCUUCAAAGAUAUUGCUUUUUAAGAAAGAGAGAAGGUCAUCUGAGAACGGGACUGCUGGAGUUAUGCUCCUUUUCUGACAAUAGCUAAGUGUGUGGAUCUUGGAUAUGGACUCUGAACAGAAACAAACAUGAAGUGGAAAAUUGCUCUUAAAAUCUUUCAGAUGCUUUUCAAGCUGUGAAUGUUGCUGGAGCUGCCAGCAUAAAUAUGACUAUUUAAUUUUAAAUACAAUCAAAUAAAAUCUUUUA